AUGGCGUCGGCGACUCCGGCAGGCGGCGGCGAGGGCGUCCACGGCGGCGGUGAGAUGCCGUUCUGGCCUCCUAGCGGAACGGCUGGCAUCGACGGCGAUGGCGGCGACGACUCCAGCUCCGCGUACUCGACCGACGACGAGGAGGAGUCGAUGUUACUCAGCAUGGAGCAGCGGUUGCGGUUGGCGCAGCAGUGGGUGGCGAACCCUAGCAGCAGCCAUCAGUUGACGCAUGGACUUGGCGGCAUGCUUUUGGAUGAAGACAUUUGGCAAGUGAGGAUCCAUUUUGAUGCAAGAGAACCAUUGGAGAUGAAGCUGUGUGGUUCAGAUAUUACUUAUCUGAAUUUGGUUGCAGUGAUGGAAACCCAAGGAUUUAAUGCAUAUGAUUGUUUGUAUCACAUUGAAAAUCCAUCUUUAGGAGAGAAAGGGCUGGAUUUGGUAGACAGUCAUGCAGAAUUACAGAAGAUAAAGAGGAAGAUCCAGGACAAAUUGGUGCUUGAUUUGCUAGUCAGGGCUUGUCCACCCCCUGAUACUGAUUUUGAGUUGCAGCAAUGUGAAAUGCCAGAGUUGUCCACUGUGGUGUACCAAGAGCCUGUUGUUUUCGAUCUGAGUGAGCCUCCUGUCUUAGCUGUUGAUCAGCAAAGAGUAGUUUUUGAGAGUCAAUGUAGCAACUCUAGCACACCUCAUCCUGCUGGUGUUUGCACACAAGAAAGCAAGAAUGCAACAGCCAAGUUGAAAGCAGUUUUGGAAGAAGAAGAAGAGGGAUAUCAAGGAUUUGAGGCAUAUGAGGACAGUGAUGCUAAUGCCUCUGAUGAGGAUGCUCAAAUUGGAAAUGACCAUCAUUACAUGGGUGAUGAUGAUGUAGAGGUGGAAGAGGGAAAGAGACAGAGAGAGCUAGAAGUACAAGAGGAAGAAUCAGAUGAUGAGCAAUCAGAAGAGGAAGAAAUGCUGCAUUAUGAGGGUGACACUGAAGUUGAGGACCCAUUUGAGGUAGAGGAAGAUAGGACUUUUGAAGAAGAAGAAGAAACUAUAGUUGAACCUGUGAAGAAGAAGCAGAAGCUACCAAUUAGAAGAGGACCAACAACUAGGUUACAUUGUAGUAAGCUACCAGAGGUUGAACCUGAUUUCAGACCAUCAUCAGAUGAAGAAGAGAAGGGGUUGUUGAGGGAGAGUGAUGAGGAUGGUUUUGAGCCAGCCUCUUUUGUCCUACCAAAGAAAAGGAAGAGUAGGGCAAAGAAAAGGCCUACUAGGAAGUGGUACAAUGAGAAAAUGGAGCAACCACAUGAGCAACUGUGUAUGAAGUUGUGUUUUAGGGAUCAACAUCAAUUCAGAGAUGCUUUAUUGAAUUUGCACAUCACUCAGGCCAGGAAUUUUAAGUACCACAGGAAUUCAGAUCAGAGGAUAAUUGUUGAGUGUCCAGAUAAACAAUGCCAAUUCUUUAUGGUGGCAGCAGUUAUAAAAGGGGAGAAAACCUUUGUAAUUAAGAAGAUGAGACUAGAGCACACUUGCCCUAGUACCACUGAGACCAUCAGGACAAUAAUUGAUGCAUGCAUGGAAAAAUAUGGUGUAGAUGUGCCCAAGUGCAUGGCAUAUAGGGCAAAGAACAUAGCUAUUGAAGCUGUCUUAGGAGAUCACAAGAAGCAAUAUCCUAGGCUUAAAGACUAUGCUCAGACUGUCAUGGACACAAACCCUGGGAGUAGAGUAAUAGUCACUACUGUUACUCCAGUACCAAAUGCAAAAAUACCCCACCCAGGCCCAAGAUUCCAUGCCAUGUUCUUUUGCCUGAAUGGAGCAAGGGAGGGGUUUCUCAAUGGGUGUAGGCCAUUCAUUGGUGUUGAUGGAUGCUUCAUUAAGCUCACUACAGGAACUCAACUCCUUGCUGCCACUGGUGGAGAAGUGAGCAAGUUUGGACCUUAUACUAUAAUGUCAGAUAGACAAAAGGGGUUAUUGAAUGCAGUGAAUGCUGUCUUUCCAAAUUGCAACCAAAGAUUCGGCCUUAGGCAUUUAUAUGCAAAUUUCCAAAAUGUUGGGUUUAGGGGUGAAGAUCUUAAGAAGUGCAUGGAUAAUGCUAGCUAUGCAUACAAUGAACACAAAUUUAAUAUUGCAAUGAAUGAUCUUAGAGCUGAAAGUGAGGAAGCUUUGGAGUGGCUUACUGCAAUACCAAAAAAACAUGGGCAAGGCAUGCAUUUGACACAAACUGCAAGACUGACUUGCCAAGAGCUGCUGGUCCUUCUACUACAACAACAGCAAGACAGCCAAGAGCUGCUGCCAGAGGAGCUGCUACUUCUACUACACCACCACCAUCUAGAAGAGGAAGAGGAAGAGGAGCUGCUACUUCUACUACACCACCACCAUCUGGAAGAGGAGCUGGCAGAGGAAGAGGAGCUGGAAGAGGUGCUCCAAGGCCAUUCAGUGCCCCCAGGCAAUAUGCUGACAUUCCUACUGAUGGUACACACACUGGAUGGAUGUCCUACUUCACUGCUAGCAGAGGAAGAGGAGCCAUGAAGGAGGGGGGAGGAGUCGCGCUCGCCGGUGCGCUACCGCGAGCUCCCAAUGGCAUACGAGCCUCCAGUGAUGUGCCACUGCUCACCUCCGAGGAAGGCGCCAAGAUGGAUCUCCUGGAGCAGGCAGAACCCUGGUAGGAGGUACUAUAGCUGCGUGGAUGCUAUGCACGGUGGCUGUGGAUUUGUGCAAUGGCAUGAUGAUCCAUUGCCCACAUUCUGGAGUGAGCUCAUUGGGGAUCUACGUGAUGAAGUAUGGAGGCUUAAAGGUGCAACUGUUGCUAGAUCUGAAGAUCAAUUUCCAAUGCUGACUCCAAGUGAAGAUGAUGGCACAAGGGAGGCCAUGUUUCUGUCUCUGCAAACUCAACUCAGAGAGAAGAAUGCAGAGAUUGUAGGGAUUAGGGGCAAAUUUCACAAUGUGUUGUUUCUUUUCACUAUAUUUGUGCUUGGGUUAGUUGCAGGCAAGAUAUUAAGUUAG
RNAcentral lists this ribosomal RNA (2976 nucleotides) under Triticum aestivum (bread wheat). RNAcentral's name for it is "partial small subunit ribosomal RNA". Lineage: Eukaryota; Viridiplantae; Streptophyta; Magnoliopsida; Poales; Poaceae. The record is from RNAcentral.